AUUGAACGCUGGCGGCAGGCCUAACACAUGCAAGUCGAGCGGAACGGCGGACGGGUGAGUAAUGCCUAGGAAUCUGCCUGGUAGUGGGGGAUAACGUCCGGACACGGGCGCUAAUACCGCAUACUCUCAGAUGAGCCUAGGUCGGCUUAGCUAGGUGGUGGGGUAAAGGCUUACAAAGGCGACGAUCCGUAACUGGUCUGAGAGGAUGAUCAGUCACACUGGAACUGAGAAACGGUCCAGACUCCUACGGGAGGCAGCAGUGGGGAAUAUUGGACAAUGGGCGAAAGCCUGAUCCAGCCAGGCCGCGUGUGUGAAGAAGGUCUUCGGAUUGUAAAGCACUUUAAGUUGGGAGGCGUUACCAACAGAAUAAGCACCGGCUAACGUCGGGCCAGCCGCCGCGGUAAUAC
This 407-nucleotide ribosomal RNA is filed under the name uncultured bacterium. RNAcentral's name for it is "partial 16S ribosomal RNA". It matches the Rfam family "Bacterial small subunit ribosomal RNA", at positions 30 to 526 of the family's 1533-position model. The record is from RNAcentral.